This 335-nucleotide long non-coding RNA is filed under the name Vigna radiata. RNAcentral's name for it is "long non-coding RNA (VRAD_LNC006350)". The record is from RNAcentral. Lineage: Eukaryota; Viridiplantae; Streptophyta; Magnoliopsida; Fabales; Fabaceae.
GGUAAACUUCGGUGCUACUAGGCAUGUUUGUGGAAACAAAAGUGUUCUUACCUCUUAGAGUAAUGUAGAGGAUGGAAAAGAACACGUAUUAUGAUAAAUCUAGGAAAACCUAUCAUAAUAGGUCUUAUUAUGACGGUUAAUUUCUCACCUGUCACAAUACAUUAAACGUGAUUACCUUUUAAUAAUAAAAUUCAAAACUUAUUAUGACAAGUUCUAACACCACCAGUAAUAAAAUAUGAAUCCCUAAUUUCUCUUUAUUUUCGAACUCUGAUUAAUAUGUCCUCACUCUCUUUUUCUCAGUUCUUAUUUGUUCGUCUCUUUCAUGUUAUUCCUUG